UAAAUGCGGAAGAGAUAAGUGCUGAAAGCAUCUAAGCACGAAACUUGCCCCGAGAUGAGUUCUCCCUGAGACUAUAAGUCUCCUGAAGGAACGUUGAAGACGACGACGUUGAUAGGCCGGGUGUGUAAGCGCAGCGAUGCGUUGAGCUAACCGGUACUAAUGAACCGUGAGGCUUAACCUUACAACGCCGAAG
RNAcentral lists this ribosomal RNA (193 nucleotides) under Klebsiella pneumoniae. RNAcentral's name for it is "partial 23S ribosomal RNA". It matches the Rfam family "Bacterial large subunit ribosomal RNA", at positions 2750 to 2925 of the family's 2925-position model. The record is from RNAcentral. RNAcentral also lists the same sequence under 1 other name. Lineage: Bacteria; Pseudomonadati; Pseudomonadota; Gammaproteobacteria; Enterobacterales; Enterobacteriaceae.